This 114-nucleotide non-coding RNA is filed under the name Streptococcus varani. Lineage: Bacteria; Bacillati; Bacillota; Bacilli; Lactobacillales; Streptococcaceae. The record is from RNAcentral.
GAACGCCGUAUGCGAUGAAAGUCGCACGUACGGUGUGGAGCGGGGGAAAACCUAGAGAAAAUACUUAUUUUCAAUUGCAAAGGAAAUAAGAUUUAAAGGGUUACCUAUCGCUAU